RNAcentral lists this ribosomal RNA (403 nucleotides) under uncultured bacterium. RNAcentral's name for it is "bacterial SSU rRNA". It matches the Rfam family "Bacterial small subunit ribosomal RNA", at positions 356 to 773 of the family's 1533-position model. The record is from RNAcentral.
AGGGAAUAUUGCACAAUGGGGGAAACCCUGAUGCAGCGACGCCGCGUGAGUGAUGAAGGCCUUCGGGUCGUAAAGCUCUGUCGUAUGGGACUAACACAAUGAAGGUACCAUGCAAGAAAGGAUCGGCUAACUUCGUGCCAGCAGCCGCGGUAAGACGAGGGAUCCUAGCGUUGUUCGGAAUUAUUGGGCGUAAAGCGGGUGUAGGCGGAUCUAUAAGUCAGGUGUGAAAUCCCAGGGCUCAACCCUGGAAGUGCACUUGAUACUGUAGAUCUUGAGUGUGGUAGAGGUUACUGGAAUUCCUGGUGUAGUGGUAAAAUACGUAGAUAUCAGGAGGAAUACCGGAGGCGAAGGCGAGUAACUGGGCCAACACUGACGCUGAGACCCGAAAGCGUGGGGAUCAAAC